GGUGUCCGUCCUCCCCCACGGAGCGGGCCAGCCAGGGAGAGAGUGCGGGCGGAUCCUCUGUGGCGUGUUGUGAGGGGAAAGCCUCCCCGAGGAGACGGCGGCGGCGGCCAUGGGGCGGGGGCUGCUGCCAGCGGAGGCGCCCGGGGACGCAGGUUGAGGUGAGAGCGGCCAGGCGCCUUCCCACACCGCCGGGCUGGGCGGUGCCGAGGGCUGGCUGCAGGCGGAGGAGGAGGAGGAAGCAGCAGCCGCCAGGAUAUUCCUGAAUGAACGGCUCUUCCCUCACCCCACACCUCCGCCCGCCUCCCGCCUCCCGCCCGCUACUCGCCGGUGUCGCUUCGCGGCGCAGCCAGUUUCUAUAGCGACGGGGGCCGAUCCGCGCCGCUACCCAGUAGUAACAAAGCCGGCUGCCCGCUGCCGCGCCGGGGCUGAGGCGGGGUGUGGGGAGGGGAACACCGGCUCCCUCUCACGAAGGCACCCCAGACAGGACAGAGAGAGAACAGAGGACAUACGAACAAUGAAUCAUCUCUUUUUGUUAUCGGUCAUUCAGACACUUUGGUGAUGGAUGGAUGAAUAGAUCGAGCCCAGAGCUGUAAGCCAGCUUGGCAGCUGGCAGAUGGAUGCCUGGCUCGGAGUAAAGGGCAUGCAGUGCACAGUCCCUAGCAGAAGCUGAAAAGGGAUGACACCUACUGAUGCUUGUCGACAAUGUCUUCUCCUCUCUUCCUGUUUGAGAUGGGUGAUACGACCAUCAGGAAAAAGUUCUAAAAUAAGCUUGAGUGACCUCAUCGCCCCUUGACUCCUCUUUCCACAAG
RNAcentral lists this long non-coding RNA (809 nucleotides) under Calidris pugnax (ruff). RNAcentral's name for it is "lncRNA (ENSCPUG00000002366.1)". Lineage: Eukaryota; Metazoa; Chordata; Aves; Charadriiformes; Scolopacidae. The record is from RNAcentral.